Canis lupus familiaris (dog) is the source of this 1019-nucleotide long non-coding RNA. RefSeq lists it as uncharacterized. The record is from RefSeq and is a predicted model, not a curated record. NCBI's taxonomy places the organism in Eukaryota, Metazoa, Chordata, Mammalia, Carnivora, Canidae. The transcript has 3 exons.
AGAGACUGCCUGGCUAGCCCACGACAAAGGUGAAGGUAGAGGGGCCUGAGGAACCCGGCACCUGACAGUAUUCCCUUUUGAAUGAGCCAGAUGAUGUGAGCAGAAUAAUUCCCAGGCUCAGCGCCUCUCCCUUACCUGUUCAGAGUCCUCGGAGGCAACACCUGACUGGCCAGGUCUCCUGGGGGCACCUGGCUCAUUCAUAAGGGGGCUCUGGCUAUGGUUUAGGUCUAAGCCCUGUGGUAUCUGAGGAGCCUAUUCCAGAGACAGGAGGAGAGGCAGAAACAUUCAAAGAGUCAAGUGGGACGACUCAGCUGUAGCCAUUCCCUGGCAGCUUGAGCACUGGAACAGCCUCUCUUGCCAGCCUGCAAGGUGACUAUAUUUGGAUUCUGUUUAUGCAGAGACCUCAGGAAUGGAACAGCAUCCUUCUGGAGAUCACAGAGGAGGGCUGAAUCCACAGCCAGGUAAAGGGUCCAAAUGAAGGGAGCGUCAGCAAGUCCAGUGGUGUCUUCUUGGACCACAAGCAGACAAGUGGUGGAAGCUCACAGGUACUGAUGUUCAUGCUCAAAAAAUCAACCACAUGAGUGUUUCAAAUCAACAUCGGGAUCCAGCCACACUGGCUGAAAGAGCCUCCAGUGAUGAAUACUGCAUUCUUAGGUCACCUUUAGAGGACAAAGGCAGCACACCCGGCUCUAGUCAGGGCAACAAACCAGAAACUGCUCUGCUCUGCGUGAGUGCUGUGCACCGAACCAGCCCUGCUCUGACUUGGGGUGUCCUGGAACUCCCUCAGCAGCCUGCACCCUGAGUGGGGGAGCUGGCAGGCUGAGAUGUUCCCUGGGGAGGCAAGGCCUCGUCCUCACCCUCGUGGGGAAAGUCCCUGUCCCUGACCCAAGGUUGGAGACUUGUGGCCUUUCAGGCCCUCAGCACGGGGCUCCAGUGAACUGAAGGAACGUGGUGCAGGUGGCCGCGGGGGGCAGGCUGAGAGCGGGUGCACCUGCUGCUGUCACACCCAGUCUGCUCCU